Long non-coding RNA from Leopardus geoffroyi (Geoffroy's cat), 1028 nucleotides. RefSeq lists it as uncharacterized. The transcript has 2 exons. The record is from RefSeq and is a predicted model, not a curated record. NCBI's taxonomy places the organism in Eukaryota, Metazoa, Chordata, Mammalia, Carnivora, Felidae.
CCUCUCCCUCCCUCCAUCAAGAUACUCCCCUGCUUGUGCUCUCUCUCCCUAAAAUUAGAGAGAGAGAGAGAAGGAGAGAGAACUUGACAUGAUGUGCCUUCUAAUGGAAAAACUCAGCACCGAUUGUGUAGUAUUGACGUUCCACACGCUCCUGUCCCCACACACGAAUCAAACCCGCAGCUGAUCCAGCCUCAAGUAGAUCAACGACCAGCUUACGUGAAACACCAAGUACAGGGAUCCCGUUAAACAAUACUAUGGGAACAGAAUCACAGGUAUCCAGAUCAUGUGACACUAUGGGACAAGUGACCGACUUCUUCAAUAAUUAAUUUGUAUUCAAACUUGAGAACUGGCACUGAAACCUGACUGAACUGUCUGGCCUGGAGCACGGGACAACUGGCCCAUGGCUUGCUCUGUGACUUUGCAUACACUGGUUCUCACUUAUCCAUUUAGGAAACAUGGAGGGCUUUCUGUCUGCUUGAGCUUCUGAAACUGUGGAGCUCACACACUAGGUUAGAAAAUGAUAAGGAAGGAUGCCUCCAGAUGGAGGUGGGGAAGCCUUUGCAAAAGAAUUGGUGUUUGAUAUGAGUCCUGACAGAUGGGAAGGAGUUCCCUGGGUGGUGGCAGUUCAUCUUCUGUAAGAUAAGAUGGUUAGACUGGAUCUACAAGGAUCUACUUAGUCCUAAUAGAUUCUGUGAUUAUAACCUGCCUAUAACCAUCCCCCCCCCCACCCCCGUGUGUGUCCCUCCAGGGAGUUGAGAGACCUCCAUGGACUUCCUGCCAUCAUCCUUUAUUUUGUUAGCCAAAGCAAUCCAACUUGAGCUGGUGGCCUUGAAUCUCUCAAUUGUGUUUGGAGACCAAAGCAUUAUCACAUUAGCCAGUCCAUAACCUUCCUAGGGAGUGGUCUCUCAGGCUCGCAGAUUUAUUUCCAUCCAUCUAGCUCCCAAGGCAUUUCGCUUAAGUAACCUUAGCUUUACAUUUGCUGGCAGUUAUGCCCAGCGUUGGUAAUAAAGAUCAUUUGCUUAUCAAAA